Molecule: ribosomal RNA, 254 nt
Filed under: uncultured bacterium
Lineage: Bacteria
Description: partial 16S ribosomal RNA
Rfam family: Bacterial small subunit ribosomal RNA
Source: RNAcentral
GACGAACCGUGCGAACGUUAUUCGGAAUCACUGGGCUUAAAGCGCGUGUAGGCGGGUCGGCGCGUCGGUCGCUGAAAUCCCCCGGCUCAACCGGGGAAGCGGCGCCGAUACGGCCGGCCUGGAGGGACGUAGGGGGGGCUGGAACUUCCGGUGGAGCGGUGAAAUGCGUUGAGAUCGGAAGGAACGCCCGUGGCGAAAGCGGCUCACUGGAUCUCUUCUGACGCUGAGGCACGAAAGCUAGGGUAGCGAACGGG